Molecule: long non-coding RNA, 293 nt
Organism: Lolium rigidum
Lineage: Eukaryota; Viridiplantae; Streptophyta; Magnoliopsida; Poales; Poaceae
Exons: 3
Source: RefSeq, a predicted model, not a curated record
CUAGCCCUGGCCCUGGGACCUUGAUGGACCCCGGCGUCCUCGGGGCCUGGACCAUCUGCAAGCGCCAUGAGUUCAACCUGAAAACAGAUUGAGCAGGAGCAGCUCGUCGGCUGGUGGCGACUGGCGACCACAAAUGGCGCUCAAGCUAGUGUUGACGCCACACCACACGCCCUUACUGCUCAGGCCUCUCCGCCGCCCGGACUGAAAGCCGGGAGGCAUGCAAAUUACCCUUGCCCCACAAUGUAGCUGGCCAAUAAGCUGCGGCGCUCUUGGAGCCUGCACCGCCCGCAAGC